UACGUAGGGGGCAAGCGUUGUCCGGAUUUAUUGGGCGGAAAGGGCACGCAGGCGGUCCUGUGCGUUUCGAGUGACAGGUGGUGGCUUAACUGCCACAGGCCUCGGAAAACGGCAGGACUUGAGGACUUCAGAGGGACGCGGAAUUCCAGGUGGAGCGGUGAAAUGCGUAGAGAUCUGGAAGAACACCAAAGGCGAAGGCAGCGUUCUGGGAAGUAUCUGACGCUCAGGUGCGAAAGCCAGGGGAGCGAACGGG
This 253-nucleotide ribosomal RNA is filed under the name uncultured bacterium. Its description in RNAcentral is "partial 16S ribosomal RNA". It matches the Rfam family "Bacterial small subunit ribosomal RNA", at positions 524 to 776 of the family's 1533-position model. The record is from RNAcentral.